UGGGGAAUAUUGCACAAUGGGGGAAACCCUGAUGCAGCGACGCCGCGUGAGCGAAGAAGGUUUUCGAACCGUAAAGCUCUGUCCUAUGAGAAGAUAAUGACGGUAUCAUAGGAGGAAGCCCCGGCUAAAUACGUGCCAGCAGCCGCGGUAAUACGUAUGGGGCGAGCGUUGUCCGGAAUUAUUGGGCGUAAAGGGUACGUAGGCGGUCUAUUAAGUCAGGUGUGAAAGCGUGAGGCUUAACCUCAUUAAGCACUUGAAACUGAUAGACUUGAGUGAAGGAGAGGAAAGUGGAAUUCCUAGUGUAGCGGUGAAAUGCGUAGAUAUUAGGAGGAAUACCGGUGGCGAAGGCGACUUUCUGGACUUUUACUGACGCUCAGGUACGAAAGCGUGGGGAGCAAACAGG
RNAcentral lists this ribosomal RNA (403 nucleotides) under Verrucomicrobiota bacterium. RNAcentral's name for it is "Verrucomicrobia bacterium partial 16S ribosomal RNA". It matches the Rfam family "Bacterial small subunit ribosomal RNA", at positions 355 to 776 of the family's 1533-position model. Lineage: Bacteria; Pseudomonadati; Verrucomicrobiota. The record is from RNAcentral.